Molecule: ribosomal RNA, 390 nt
Filed under: uncultured fungus
Lineage: Eukaryota; Fungi
Description: eukaryotic LSU rRNA
Rfam family: 5.8S ribosomal RNA (bases 1-126)
Source: RNAcentral
UGCAUCGAUGAAGAACGCAGCCAGUUGCGAUAAGUAGUGUGAAUUGCAGAAUUCAGUGAAUCAUCGAAUCUUUGAACGCAAAUUGCGCUUUCUGGGUAUCCAGGGAGCAUGCCUGUCUGAGCGUCGUUUAAUAAUCUACACACUCUUGUGUGGGCAGGGAGUUCAUUUAACUCAGCAAUGAGUUGACCGUCUCUUGAUGUUUCUGAACCUGGCAGUGUACUUCUGUGUACUACUUGGAAGGCUCAACUUGCUACUGUCCUUUUAAAGUGUGUACUAAAGUUGUACUAAACUAAGUUCUUCGAAGAUUUUUACGAAUUUUCAAAACCUGAUUUUUGACCUCAGAUCAGACAAGACUACCCGCUGAAUUUAAGCAUAUCAAUAAGCGGAGGA